Long non-coding RNA from Haliotis rubra (blacklip abalone), 901 nucleotides. RefSeq lists it as uncharacterized. The record is from RefSeq and is a predicted model, not a curated record. The transcript has 5 exons. NCBI's taxonomy places the organism in Eukaryota, Metazoa, Mollusca, Gastropoda, Lepetellida, Haliotidae.
AAAUGUCUGGUUAUAAUUCCAGACAUAUGGACAAACAUUCAUCCAAGAUGACAGGUUCCUGUCAGUUGUUGGAAGCUUUGCGUCUAUCUUCAAUGCUGCAGGUCGUAUCUCAUGGGGCUACUUUGGAGACAAGGUGUCAUUUAAGACGGCUAUGCUGUGCCUGUGUGCGCUAUUCACAGUCCUCAUGUUCACCUUCACCCUGACCAAGGUUGCCGACGGGAAGCCCCUGUUCUUCAUCUACGUCUGCCUCACAUUCGGCACCUUCUCCGGCAACUACUCCCUCAUCCCCACUGCGACCGCGAGGACGUUUGGCCAGGAGUACUUCAUACAGAUAUAUGGGAUUUUGUUUUCCUCACAGAUGGUCAUUUCUCCAGUCGGGUCUCUGCUGACGUCUUAUCUUACAGACCUUAUCGGCUGGUAUGGGCUCUUCUUUCUAACUGCUGCCUGUUCUUCCUGUAGUUUUAUUCUGAUGUUUUUCUUCAACAAGAAGAUGCCAGAUGGAAAUGACGUUUGAAACAAUGUAUAAGGCCGGAUGGUGGAAGAUGGUGGUGACCCGAAUAAUGUAUGUACAGUGGUUGUGAUAUUACAUAACGCGUCUCUUGAAACUGUGUCGUGAGAAGACUGCGGGAAGACCGUGAGAAUACUUCUACCAAAGGUGUUCUGUGAUCGGCGUCAGGCUAUAUGCUUGUGUAAAUAGCGGGUACUUCCGGUAGGACCGGACAUGCGUAUAUCCCUUCCGCGAACACAUGGUGUUAUCACUGACUGUCAGCGAUCCAUGCAUAAUGUCUUCACAGCUCUGUUGUCUAAACACCAACUAAACCUGUUUCUGAGGAUAUUCAGUGCUGGGUAUCCUUUGGCACUGACUGUUUGAUAUUUAUGAAUAAAAUAUGUUUACAUCAAA